UAGGGAAUCUUCCGCAAUGGACGCAAGUCUGACGGAGCAACGCCGCGUGAGUGAAGAAGGAUUUCGGUUCGUAAAACUCUGUUGUUAGAGAAGAACAGCGCAUAGAGUAACUGUUAUGCGUGUGACGGUAUCUAACCAGAAAGCCACGGCUAACUACGUGCCAGCAGCCGCGGUAAUACGUAGGUGGCAAGCGUUGUCCGGAUUUAUUGGGCGUAAAGCGAGCGCAGGCGGUCAAUUAAGUCUGAUGUGAAAGCCCCCGGCUCAACCGGGGAGGGUCAUUGGAACCUGGUUGACUUGAGUGGAGAAGAGGAGAGUGGAAUUCCAUGUGUAGCGGUGAAAUGCGUAGAUAUAUGGAGGAACACCAGUGGCGAAGGCGACUCUCUGGUCUGUAACUGACGCUGAGGCUCGAAAGCGUGGGUAGCAAACAGG
This 429-nucleotide ribosomal RNA is filed under the name Bacteroidota bacterium. RNAcentral's name for it is "Bacteroidetes bacterium partial 16S ribosomal RNA". It matches the Rfam family "Bacterial small subunit ribosomal RNA", at positions 355 to 776 of the family's 1533-position model. The record is from RNAcentral. Lineage: Bacteria; Pseudomonadati; Bacteroidota.